GGUUAAGCGAAUAAGCGUACACGGUGGAUGCCUAGGCAAUCAGAGGCGAUGAAGGACGUGCUAAUCUGCGAAAAGCGUCGGUAAGGUGAUAUGAACCGUUAUACCCGACGAUAUCCGAAUGGGGAAACCCAGUAUCCAAUGGAUACUAUCAUUAACUGAAUCCAUAGGUUAAUGAGGCGAACCGGGAGAACUGAAACAUCUCAGUACCCCGAGGAAAAGAAAUCAACCGAGAUUCCCCUAGUAGCGGCGAGCGAACGGGGAGCAGCCCAGAGUCUUAAUCAAUAACAGUGUCAGGAGAACGGUCUGGAAAGUCCGGCAGUAAAGGGUGAUAGCCCCGUAUCUGAAGAUGCUGUUAUUGUGAACUCGACGAGUAGGGCGGGACACGUGUUAUCCUGUCUGAAUAUGGGGGGACCAUCCUCCAAGGCUAAAUACUCCUGAUUGACCGAUAGUGAACCAGUACCGUGAGGGAAAGGCGAAAAGAACCCCGGCGAGGGGAGUGAAAAAGAACCUGAAACCGUGUACGUACAAGCAGUAGGAGCCUCUUUAUGGGGUGACUGCGUACCUUUUGUAUAAUGGGUCAGCGACUUAUAUUCUGUAGCAAGGUUAACCGUAUAGGGGAGCCGUAGGGAAACCGAGUCUUAACUGGGCGAAUGAGUUGCAGGGUAUAGACCCGAAACCCGGUGAUCUAUCCAUGGGCAGGUUGAAGGUUGGGUAACACUAACUGGAGGACCGAACCGACUAAUGUUGAAAAAUUAGCGGAUGACUUGUGGAUGGGGGUGAAAGGCCAAUCAAACCGGGAGAUAGCUGGUUCUCCCCGAAAGCUAUUUAGGUAGCGCCUCGUGAAUUCAUCUUCGGGGGUAGAGCACUGUUUCGACUAGGGGGUCAUCCCGACUUACCAACUCGAUGCAAACUGCGAAUACCGAAGAAUGUUAUCACGGGAGACACACGGCGGGUGCUAACGUCCGUCGUGAAGAGGGAAACAACCCAGACCGCCAGCUAAGGUCCCAAAGUCAUGGUUAAGUGGGAAACGAAGUGGGAAGGCUCAGACAGCCAGGAUGUUGGCUUAGAAGCAGCCAUCAUUUAAAGAAAGCGUAAUAGCUCACUGGUCGAGUCGGCCCGCGCGGAAGAUGUAACGGGGCUAAACCAUGCACCGAAGCUGCGGCAGCGACACAAAGUGUUGUUGGGUAGGGGAGCGUUCUGUAAGCCUGCGAAGGUGUACUGUGAGGUAUGCUGGAGGUAUCAGAAGUGCGAAUGCUGACAUAAGUAACGAUAAUGCGGGUGAAAAACCCGCACGCCGGAAGACCAAGGGUUCCUGUCCAACGUUAAUCGGGGCAGGGUGAGUCGACCCCUAAGGCGAGGCUGAAAAGCGUAGUCGAUGGGAAACGGGUUAAUAUUCCCGUACUGGUGGUAACUGCGAUGGGGGAACGGAGAAGGCUAGGUUGUCCGGGCGACGGUCGUCCCGGUUCAAGCAGGUAGGCAGAGUGAUUAGGCAAAUCCGGUCACUUAAUGCUGAGAUGUGAUGACGAACCACCAAGGUGGUGAAGCAAUUGAUGCCCCGCUUCCAGGAAAAGCCUCUAAGCUUCAGGUUACCAACAAUCGUACCCCAAACCGACACAGGUGGUCAGGUAGAGAAUACUCAGGCGCUUGAGAGAACUCGGGUGAAGGAACUAGGCAAAAUGGUGCCGUAACUUCGGGAGAAGGCACGCUGGCGGUAGGUAAAGUCCCUCGCGGACAGAGCUGAAGCCAGUCGAAGAUACCAGCUGGCUGCAACUGUUUAUUAAAAACACAGCACUGUGCAAACACGAAAGUGGACGUAUACGGUGUGACGCCUGCCCGGUGCUGGAAGGUUAAUUGAUGGGGUCAGCCGCAAGGCGAAGCUCCUGAUCGAAGCCCCAGUAAACGGCGGCCGUAACUAUAACGGUCCUAAGGUAGCGAAAUUCCUUGUCGGGUAAGUUCCGACCUGCACGAAUGGCGUAAUGAUGGCCAGGCUGUCUCCACCCGAGACUCAGUGAAAUUGAACUCGCUGUGAAGAUGCAGUGUACCCGCGGCAAGACGGAAAGACCCCGUGAACCUUUACUAUAGCUUGACACUGAACAUUGAGCCUUGAUGUGUAGGAUAGGUGGGAGGCUUUGAAGUGUGGACGCCAGUCUGCAUGGAGCCAACCUUGAAAUACCACCCUUUAACGUUUGAUGUUCUAACCUAGGCCCAUAAACUGGGUCGGGGACCGUGUCUGGUGGGUAGUUUGACUGGGGCGGUCUCCUCCUAAAGAGUAACGGAGGAGCACGAAGGUUGGCUAAGCAUGGUCGGACAUCAUGCGGUUAGUGCAAAGGCAUAAGCCAGCUUGACUGCGAGAGUGACGGCUCGAGCAGGUACGAAAGUAGGUCUUAGUGAUCCGGUGGUUCUGAAUGGAAGGGCCAUCGCUCAACGGAUAAAAGGUACUCCGGGGAUAACAGGCUGAUACCGCCCAAGAGUUCAUAUCGACGGCGGUGUUUGGCACCUCGAUGUCGGCUCAUCACAUCCUGGGGCUGAAGUAGGUCCCAAGGGUAUGGCUGUUCGCCAUUUAAAGUGGUACGCGAGCUGGGUUUAGAACGUCGUGAGACAGUUCGGUCCCUAUCUGCCGUGGGCGUUGGAAGAUUGAGAGGGGUUGCUCCUAGUACGAGAGGACCGGAGUGAACGCACCACUGGUGUUCGGGUUGUCAUGCCAAUGGCAUUGCCCGGUAGCUAAGUGCGGAAGAGAUAACCGCUGAAAGCAUCUAAGCGGGAAACUUGCCUCGAGAUGAGUCUUCCCUGUCGCUUUAAGCGACCUAAAGGAACGUUUAAGACUAAGACGUUGAUAGGCUGGGUGUGUAAGCGUAGCGAUACGUUGAGCUAACCAGUACUAAUGAACCGUGAGGCUUAACCUG
Molecule: ribosomal RNA, 2903 nt
Filed under: Proteus mirabilis
Lineage: Bacteria; Pseudomonadati; Pseudomonadota; Gammaproteobacteria; Enterobacterales; Morganellaceae
Description: 23S ribosomal RNA
Rfam family: Bacterial large subunit ribosomal RNA
Source: RNAcentral